This is a non-coding RNA of Pimephales promelas (fathead minnow), 1285 nucleotides long. The record is from RefSeq and is a predicted model, not a curated record. NCBI's taxonomy places the organism in Eukaryota, Metazoa, Chordata, Actinopteri, Cypriniformes, Leuciscidae.
CGAAUAUGCCCGUGUAAUAUAAGAAAUAAUUUCUAUAAAAGGCUGUUAUAGAGUAACGUUACGUGUAACGUUAUUAAUUUAAAUUUGAUUUAUAGAACAGGCUGAAGUAAUGACCUCAAAUUAAUUUUGUAAACAUCUGGUGAAAUAACACAUCUAAUAUAACAGACACUUCUGUGUCUGUGUUCUGAGACACACCAUAUGAUUCAUUUAUCCAUGAGAUUUAUCCAUUUAUCCAUUAUAUGAUUAAUUCGAGAAGGAAAGCUAUGAGAAACAUCUGUCUUAGUAAAUUGUCAGAUGUUAAUAAAGUUUAGUUUUUAAAUAGCACAAGUUGGACCAUAGCAUAAAAAUUGCUCAAUAAUUAAGGCUCUCCUAAAGACCCAAACUCCAACUGAUGUUUAUUAGUAACUGAUGUGAUAAAUGUUUCCGAAGGUCAAUAUAUUAUUUUGUGUUCCACAGAAGAAAGUAAUGCAGGUUUGGAAGAAACAACAGUAAAUUAUGACAGCAUUUUCAUUUUUGUGUGAACUUUCCAUUUAAUCAACAUGUCUAAAUAAACCGAAAGACAAAUCACACAUAAAACACUAGGUUAUGAUUAUAUUAAAUGUAAACAACUUCUUUUCAUAUUUACAUUUUUUGUUACUGAGAUGAACUCUUCUAUCUAGUGUCAGAACGCAAUACAGUAUUUACACGGUAUAACAAGUGGCACUUCAUUAUCUUCUAAGUUACCUUCAAACGUGUAUUUUUCCUUCUUCUUACUUCUAACUUAAAAAUGUAAAAGUCUAAUCAUAUAAAAAUUUACAUUUUCUUUUAAAAAGGAUUCUAUGGAUGUUUGUACACUGCAAUAAAACCUCCUUAUCCUACUGUCAGAAAUGUUCAGAUUUCGAUUGCUAACACACUGAAAUUAAAAAUAAAGUUAGUGAAAAAUAAUAGUUAGUGAAACGCUGAUAUUCAAGGAGCAAACCUCAGCCCAGAUCUGCACAAGCCUCACGUUUUGCAAAUUACUACACACACUUUUCUACAUUAGACACAGAAAUCCAACAUGAUGUCACCUCUUUGACGUUUGAAAAUUUCCAAAAUACCACACUUAUGAACCAAUUGUUCAAACACGGCCAUCAAAUGUGCUGCUUAAUUGUAAACUCAACCAUCAGUUAAGCAUUAUCAAAAGGUGAGUUUAACUGUCUUCAACAAAAAUGGAAGGCAUGCAACGUUGCAGUAAGAGGAAGAAGGAGAGGGAGGAUGAGAGGAAGAGAUUGACCUGGUCACCUGGAGGAGGAUGUGGUAAAAAAAA